Long non-coding RNA from Nomascus leucogenys (northern white-cheeked gibbon), 709 nucleotides. RefSeq lists it as uncharacterized. The record is from RefSeq and is a predicted model, not a curated record. NCBI's taxonomy places the organism in Eukaryota, Metazoa, Chordata, Mammalia, Primates, Hylobatidae. The transcript has 4 exons.
CUGGCCUUCCCUGCCACCUCCAGGGAGACACCUGGAGGAGCAGAUCCCCAGGGAAUUCAGAACAGCUGCCACGGAACCUCCCCUGAAACUGCAAGCGCAUUCCCGGCAUGCCUGCUCAGCAACCUGAGGAGCUGGGCUUGUCUCUUCCUUUCCUAGCACUUCCAGGUAUCUUGGGGAAAAAAAGGAGCAUCUAUGAUGAGUCUGGCAACUCCCCACACUGCAUUCUCCUCUGCGUUUUUUACCAUGCACCAGUACAUCAAAGGCUCUGAAAAGUCCUGCAGCUAAGAAACACAUUUAACUGUGCCUGUCCAGCAUUCGACCUCAGAAUCUUCCUUUCUUAGACCUAGUAACACUGCUUAGGAAAUGCUGCUGGAGCACAAUCCUCUCAUUCCACAGCUGAGGUUCCGGGAGGCCCGGUGACUUGCUGGAGGACAACACACAGGCACCAGCUGAGAGACAGAAUUUUUGGAAGAACUUAGGGAAGAAACUAAGAAAAGACAACAGCACACAGCAACAAGCAGUCACCCGGGCCUCUCAUGUCACCGAGAACAUUAUGGUGGGCACCUGUGAGCUCUUCCUGACCGCCUGACUUCUGAGAUGUUUUCCCGACCACCCUGCUUCACCCAGGGCAGAUUUGCCAACUCCUUGAUGCCUCCUGUGUUGCAAUCACAAUCAGAUGAGGUCCCAGGGCCCCAGGGUGGGCAGCAGC